This is a non-coding RNA of Gossypium arboreum, 46 nucleotides long. The record is from Rfam. Lineage: Eukaryota; Viridiplantae; Streptophyta; Magnoliopsida; Malvales; Malvaceae.
UUAGCGGCGCUUUUAAGCGCCACUAAAUUUUUGCGGCGCUUUUAAG